UGCGCUUGAGUAUUUGUUAGGAGUGUUGUGGUCUUGGGAUAGCCAAGGUUAGAUGCAAAUUGGCAGGGCAAAUGUUGUGCCGCUGCUUGCGACGACGUGGGCUGGUCUGGACGGUUCGUCUUUUUGUCCGAGGGGUCCUGCGAACGAUCGCCUUGCCUUGGCGGGCUGAUCAACUCCAGGCUCCAGACGUUAGGAAUCCGAUUCGCGGAGGAGCUUUAGGUUUAUCUCAGGAGGAAUUUGAUUCAAGAUUGCGAAUUACAUUUCGAAGCCAAAGUGCUGCUUUUAGAGGCAAAGAGAUCCUUUCAUCCUGAGACGGAACGCCGCCCUGGCGGAUGAGUGGUGCAUCCAGAAACAUUGCCA
RNAcentral lists this long non-coding RNA (360 nucleotides) under Volvox carteri. Its description in RNAcentral is "long non-coding RNA (VCAR_LNC000923)". Lineage: Eukaryota; Viridiplantae; Chlorophyta; Chlorophyceae; Chlamydomonadales; Volvocaceae. The record is from RNAcentral.